AAAGCACAAUAAAGAUACAAUCAAAGAUCAUUAAGCAACAUGAGAACUAUAAGUAUUGACAAGGCACUCGUUACUAUGAUGAGCAUGAAACUUAUGCCAAGAAUUCAUUUAACGCGAUCGUUUAUAAGCGACCUCCACUACUUGUGAAUAUAAGUUUGUAACUAUUAGGUGAAACUCCCUUAUAUUCUAGCAUCAUAUUCAUGCAUGAAAACUAAGCGUGCACUCUUAACAAACAUACAUGAAUACGUUAUCAAUCAAGCAGUUAAAUGAAUUGAAUUCACAACUUAUGAAAUCACAACCAAAAGUAAUCAAUUCAUAUUGCAAGCAUGAACAUGGUUUCGAAUUACCCCCUAACUAAGAAGGGCUUAGUUCCUCAUGUUCGCAAAACAAAGAUACAUAAACUUAACCAUUGAAAACAAAAGAAAGAUUACACCUAGAAACGCUCCAACAAUCCAACGUCUUGAAUGGCAAGCACGUCCAAGGGUCUCAUUCUUUCUUCUUUGCUGCGACACAAGGGUGUUUGGUGAUGAUUUGCGAUGAAUUGUGGUGGUGGAUGGAUGUAGGUAGGUUAUGGUGAGGGAUGGAAUGAGUGUAUAGGGCGGCUAGGGAUGUUUUUAGGCAGGAACUAGGGUGAAUGGUGGUAGAAUGGUGCGGCUAAGUGUAUGGAAUGUGUUCUGGCGUGAAUGGCUGUUUUCUGGAUGAAUGGGGAUGUUUGUGGCUGCACAAGGAUGGUUAUUUAAAGGGAUUAGGAAAUUAAAAACCCUAGGCUAAUUAGGUAAACAGAAAUUUAAGUAAAAAAACUUCUAGAAGUAGGAAACAAAAUCAGAAAAUUAAGGGAAAGGUCAAGGGAUAUGCGGCAACACCUUGAAACACAUUAGGAAUGUGUUUUAAUCCUCAAAAUCAGGAAAGGACCCUCUCCCUUGCACGGCAAGGAAGAGGAAAGGGCAAGGAACCUUCACAUGGUGCGGCAAGGACUUUCAAUGUGCAAGAGAGGUGUAUUUGAUGUCCUAGAAUGCUUAGGAUGCCUUCAAAGUUGAUAAAACUUAGGAACAUUUAGGAAAGGUCAAACCAAAGUAAGAACCCUUGGCUUAACUUUCCUACUUCAAGUAGGAAUCCUUGUUGGAGUAGGAAUCCUUGUUCUUCUAGGAAUCCUCAUGUGAUUAGGAAUCCAUCUUCAAUUAGGAAUCCUUCGUUGAUUAGGAAUCCUUCUUCAAUUAAGAAUCCUUUUGCUCCAAAAUGCUCCAAAAUGCAUACUUUGCCUUUAGAAUCUGAAAACACACAAAAGUAACUUUAAACACUAAAAUAGCUAACGAAACAUAACAUAAAUGCACGAGAACAAGCCGAUUAAGUCGCAUAAAUAUGGUCCUAUCAAAUCCCCCACACUUAGCUUUUGCUAGUCCUCGAGCAAAAUAAAACAAAAUAAAACAAAACAAAACAAAUAAAACAUAACCUAAACCUUCCAACAUUUGCCUCAGGGAUUUCCAAUGCACAUGACAUGUUAAAAAUCAUCAUCCCCACAGAUUUGAGUCAUCUUUACACUUGAGCACAUACUUAAUCAUAGUCACUACUUACUAGUUCACAUUUAAGCAAUUAAAACAAUGUUUUGAAUGUAGUAACAUGCCUUAGAGAAUUCCCUCAAUUCCUUACAAGAUAUGCACUCAAUUUUCACUCAGAUUUUCUAACUACACACCCUAUACUAGUUAUAUGUGAGAAGAUUGAUGUAGAUAUGAAAACAAACACUCACAUAUAUAUAACAAAGAACGCAAUUUCUGGAGUUAAUAAGCAUGUUUAGAUAUGAUCUCCUGAAUGGAAUGCUACUACUUAGACGUGAGAACCAGCGACACCAUAUGCUCAUACCAACUUCAAACUCCACAAAUUGAAACACAUAACACUCAAGAUUGAAGUCAAAGGUUGUAACGGGGCUUGGGGUGUUGGCUAACAAAUGAAGGAUAGGGAUAACAAACGUUCUUAAAGCAAUAGCAGGCCAAGUAAUGAAAUUGAAACUUAGAAUUCACUUAGAUUGUAGAAAUCAACUUUUAAACACGAAGGGAAGAUUCAAGCAAUAUUGGGGCCGAAUUCAAAGUUUUGGACCCCUUCUUCAACAAACAAUACUCUAGAACUUUUUUUUUUUCACAUCUUUUCAACUCUUUUUCUUUUUCCACGAAUUUCAUUUUUUUUUCUUUUCUUUUCUUGCCGUGUUCUAUGGCACCCAAAAUACCCAAAUUGAAACCUUUCCCCCACACUUGUUUUCUGCCAUAUAUAAAUGAAAAGGAAUUCAAUUUGAAUCAUGCUUUACUACGCUUCAAGAACAAGGGUAAGGAUGGUCCUAAUCUAGGCUAGGUGAGGUUAAUGUGGUUAACAAAGAAUGUAGGCUAACAAGGCUCGAAGGGGUUAAACUUAAACAUAAAAUGAUACGGGAUAUACGGCAAUUUGGCUUUGGUGGUGGUAACUACACAACUUCAUCUUGAAUAUGUGUUAUGCAAAUCAAUAACAUGCUUUGAAUGAAAUGGGCAUUUGGAACUAAAUGAUGAAACGCCUUCUAAGUAGUAACCAAGCAAGGAAUAAUGAGAUCAUGCAACGACUUAGAAAACAAUAAUGCAUAGAUUUUAACUCUCCAAAUAAAUGUUUAGGCUCAAGUCUCACAAGGUUGUAGCGUUUGCUUGAGUUCCUUCCUUCAAGCAUGUUACAAAACUAAUUUUUAUCCUUUGUGAUUGCAUGUGAAUUCAUAAGCUAUAACCACAACCAAGCAUAAGCAAAGAGUAAUUCAAACUUUCAUCAUGUUAAUAACUUUCUUUAACAGCCAUGCAAUUACAAACCGAAUCCUCAUCAUUGUGUUGGAAGGUACCCUAGACACAAACACACAAAAACGACUCAAAACACUAUUUUUAGGCUUUUCAAAACACUUUUUUCAAAUUUUUAUGUGAUUUUCGGAGUUUUAUGUUAACACACACUAAAAUACACCAAAACUGCUUAAAAACACUUAAAAACAGCAAGGAACAAGUCUCUAAGUAAUGGGUGGUACUGAAGGAAAAUUUUUGUCCUGGCUAAGAACAAGUAUGAACAUUUGAAUACACAUGCAAGCUAUUAACACUUUAAAGUAGGCAUGCAUCCAAAAACAAUUCAUAAAACCCAUGACUUUCAAAGCCUAGUAUAUGGUGAACCAAAAUAAACUCUUUAACAACAUUAAAGAGAAGUAAAGAUUUAGUGAUUCUUUACCCUUGAAGCUCAUCCUUGUUUACACAAGGGAUUCACCCAAGUGGAGGGCCUUCAAGUCACCUCCAAGCUCCUUGAAUCCUCCUUGUGUUUUCCUCCCUUUAGUGCUCCUUUGAUGAUUUGAGGAAAAAGGAUUUGUUCCCCAAAACACCAAAAGCUUGAUGUCUCUAAGUCUCUUCACCAAGGUUGUAUCUUGUGAAGAUGAAUUGGAUGACUAAGGGAAGAAGAGAUUGCUAGAUGUCCCUCCCCUUAGUGGCCGGCCUCCUUAGAAGAAAAUGGAGAAAAUGUUUCACGCAAUUUCAACAAGAAAAAACCCUAAUUAGAAAAAUAGCUAUAAAAGUUGCUUUUAUAAAAACCUUUUCUUUGAUGAGUGGCAAACUUGUAAUAAAGCAAACUUUGCCCAUUCACCCUAAUGGCCGGCCAUCCUUUGUUAUUGGGCUAAUUUUCCUAUUUUGUUUUAGUUGUCAUACAACUUAAACAUAAUGGGCCUUGUGGACCAAAACGCUUUUGGGCCCCGAAACCCAAAACCUACAUAUAAGCCCAAUACGAACCUUUCGUAUAAUUAAUUAACUAAUUAAUUAAUCUUUGACCAUUCUUCAAUUAAACCAUUUAAUUGCUUAUCCAUUUCAUUUGAUUCUUUCACAUACAUCCUUACUCGAUGUACGAUCCAUUAGGUUCCAAUUAGCGAGGCAGUGGCGAUGAUGUUACUCUUAACUAUCGAUUUGUGAAUUGAAACCACAUUUCAAUUCUCCCUUUAAUGAUUAGUGUUACCUAAUCAUUUGGGCUUCCACAAACCAUGAGUGACACCUAGCAGUAUGUCAUGGUUACCCAAGCUAAGUAAGAAAUUGGUUGGAGAACCUAUCCAGUUACAACUACAAUGCAAUACGGUCAUUCUCUAAUACAAUACUCUCUUAAUCACAUUGUUUACGUGAUAGUUGUUUGUUUCAUGUCUACUAUCCAAUGUGAUACUUUCAUAUAUGAUUCCCAUGAAUAUGAUUUGGAACAAACUUCCUAAGUCAUAUUCAUUUGCUUUGGCCAAAGACUUUAGAAUCAUAUCUUAGAGUAUUCUCCCUCCACCAAGGAAGGUUAGAGAUCCCUUGUUGUGCAUUCAUAUGCCUACAUGACUAGAUAUAGCUUGACCCCAACAAUGCCGUGGACACUCCAAAGGAAUGCCGUUGACAAGAUCAAAGAUCAAGGACCUAACCAUUAGACAUCGAUGAUGCCUCAGGUCAAAGGACUACUUUGCAUAUUGUAAACUUUAGAGUUCAUACAUGACAUGUAUGUUCGAACUCUCUUUGAUCGUAGUUCAGUGUACUCGAUUACUCUUUUCGAGCACCUAUGUGUUUGUCUUAGUGUCCAACACCAAAUGACUUGAGACUAGUCAUACUCACGCUUGAGUCAACACAACACAUACUAAACCUUAGCGGAUUGUCAAUGCCCCAAUUGGCAAUCCUAUGGCUAGGAACGUUUUAGGAAUGAACAUAAGAGAAAGGUCUUGAUAAUCUAACUCACUUAGAUCACUUAUCUCUUAGAACAAAUACAUUCCUUGGAUUCUCUUAUUGCUUAAACACAUGAUACAAUAAAUAGUGAUUAACAAUAAGAUUUGCCCUUCAUUAAACAUAUAAAAGUUUAAUACAUUAAGUAUUCCAAAAAGCUAUUACAUCAAAUGAGUGGCUUUGUGGGCAUACUUCCAACAGGUACAAUCCCACGAAUUUGCAUCAAAAACACUUAGUUACCCCCCCCCACACUUAAAUCAAACAUUGUCCUCAAUGUUUCAAGCAUAAAAUCACACCAAAUAAAAGGAAACACACAAACAACAAGUAAACAAAUAAACGGGCAGAUUAUAAACAACAACAAAGAGAAAGGUUUGAGGAACGCAAAUCUGGAAUUGGAGUGCUCUCUAGGUCUUCCUUUGUCGAAUGCAUGGGUUGCCUCCCAAGUAGCGCUUUCUUUAACGUCUUGCAGCCGGACGAUGCCUCAU
Molecule: long non-coding RNA, 5194 nt
Filed under: Malus domestica (apple)
Lineage: Eukaryota; Viridiplantae; Streptophyta; Magnoliopsida; Rosales; Rosaceae
Description: long non-coding RNA (MDOM_LNC020550)
Source: RNAcentral